RNAcentral lists this ribosomal RNA (468 nucleotides) under uncultured bacterium. Its description in RNAcentral is "partial 16S ribosomal RNA". It matches the Rfam family "Bacterial small subunit ribosomal RNA", at positions 28 to 507 of the family's 1533-position model. The record is from RNAcentral.
GACGAACGCUGGCGGCGUGCUUAACACAUGCAAGUCGAACGGAAAGGCCCUGCUUUUGUGGGGUGCUCGAGUGGCGAACGGGUGAGUAACACGUGAGUAACCUGCCCUUGACUUUGGGAUAACUUCAGGAAACUGGGGCUAAUACCGGAUAGGAGCUCCUGCUGCAUGGUGGGGGUUGGAAAGUUUCGGCGGUUGGGGAUGGACUCGCGGCUUAUCAGCUUGUUGGUGGGGUAGUGGCUUACCAAGGCUUUGACGGGUAGCCGGCAUGAGAGGGUGACCGGCCACAAUGGGACUGCGAUACGGCCCAGAAUGCUACGGGAGGCAGCAGUGGGGAAUAUUGCACAGUGGGCGGAAGCCUGAUGCAGCAACGCCGCGUGCGGGAUGACGGCCUUCGGGUUGUAAACCGCUUUCGCCUGUGACGAAGAGUGAGUGACGGUAAUGGGUAAAGAAGCACCGGCUAACUACGUG